This 401-nucleotide ribosomal RNA is filed under the name uncultured bacterium. RNAcentral describes it as "bacterial SSU rRNA". It matches the Rfam family "Bacterial small subunit ribosomal RNA", at positions 954 to 1317 of the family's 1533-position model. The record is from RNAcentral.
GGGGAACGCGAAGAACCUUACCCGGGCCUUGUACACACAGGGGCCUUGUACACACCGGGGUCUUGUACACACCGAGAACGUUCCAGAGAUGGAUUGGUGCCUUCGGGAACUCUGAUACAGGUGCUGCAUGGCUGUCGUCAGCUCGUGUCGUGAGAUGUUGGGUUAAGUCCCGCAACGAGCGCAACCCUUUUCCUUACUUGCCAGCAUUUCGGAUGGGAACUUUAAGGAUACUGCCAGUGACAAACUGGAGGAAGGCGGGGACGACGUCAAGUCAUCAUGGCCCUUACGGCCAGGGCUACACACGUGCUACAAUGGUCGGUACAAAGGGUUGCUACACAGCGAUGUGAUACUAAUCUCAGAAAUCCGUGCGCUCUACCCGCCUGGGGGUCUUGUACACACCG